GCCAGACUCCUACGGGAGGCAGCAGUGGGGAAUAUUGCACAAUGGGGGAAACCCUGAUGCAGCGACGCCGCGUGAGUGAAGAAGUAUUUCGGUAUGUAAAGCUCUAUCAGCAGGAACGAGACAAGACGGUACCUGACUAAGAAGCCCCGGCUAACUACGUGCCAGCAGCCGCGGUAAUACGUAGGGGGCAAGCGUUAUCCGGAAUCACUGGGUGUAAAGGGAGCGUAGACGGCUGAGCAAGCCUGAAGUGAAAGGCGGGGGCCCAACCCCCGGACUGCUUUGGGAACUGUACGGCUGGAGUGCAGGAGAGGUAAGUGGAAUUCCUAGUGUAGCGGUGAAAUGCGUAGAUAUUAGGAGGAACACCAGUGGCGAAGGCGGCUUACUGGACUGUAGCUGACGUUGAGGCUCGAAAGCGUGGGGAGCAAACAGGAUUAGAUACCCGAGUA
RNAcentral lists this ribosomal RNA (446 nucleotides) under uncultured bacterium. Its description in RNAcentral is "bacterial SSU rRNA". It matches the Rfam family "Bacterial small subunit ribosomal RNA", at positions 330 to 792 of the family's 1533-position model. The record is from RNAcentral.